This 73-nucleotide transfer RNA is filed under the name Pyropia tenera (asakusa nori). RNAcentral describes it as "Neopyropia tenera (asakusa nori) tRNA-Met". It matches the Rfam family "tRNA". Rfam says of the family: Transfer RNA (tRNA) molecules are approximately 80 nucleotides in length. Their secondary structure includes four short double-helical elements and three loops (D, anti-codon, and T loops). RNAcentral also lists the same sequence under 11 other names. The record is from RNAcentral. Lineage: Eukaryota; Rhodophyta; Bangiophyceae; Bangiales; Bangiaceae.
UGGCUCAGUAGCUCAGUGGUUAGAGCAGGGGAUUCAUAAGCCCAAGGUCGCAGGUUCAAAUCCCGCUUGAGCC